RNAcentral lists this ribosomal RNA (104 nucleotides) under uncultured bacterium. RNAcentral describes it as "partial 16S ribosomal RNA". It matches the Rfam family "Bacterial small subunit ribosomal RNA", at positions 1367 to 1482 of the family's 1533-position model. The record is from RNAcentral.
UACGUUCCCGGGUCUUGUACACACCGCCCGUCACACCACGAAAGCCCGCUGCAACAGAAGUACCUGGCUUGCCAGGUCCGAAGUUGUGGUUGGUGAUUGGGGUG